CCUACGGGUGGCUGCAGUGGGGAAUAUUGGACAAUGGGCGAAAGCCUGACCCAGCAACGCCGCGUGUAGGAAGAAGGCUUUCGGGUUGUAAACUACUUUUGACAGGGAAGAGCAGAAGACGGUACCUGUCGAAUCAGCCACGGCUAACUACGUGCCAGCGGCCGCGGUAAUACGUAGGCGGCAAGCGUUGUCCGGAUUAACGGGGAGUAAAGGGCGUGUAGCCGGGCUGACAAGUCAGAUGUGAAAUCCGGGGGCUCAACCCCCGAACUGCAUUUGAAACUGUUGGUCUUGAGUAUCGGAGAGGCAGGUGGAAUUCCUGGUGUAGCGGUGAAAUGCGUAGAUAUUAGGAGGAACACCAGUGGCGAAGGCGGCCUGCUGGACGACAACUGACGGUGAGGCGCGAAAGCGUGGGGAGCAAACAGGAUUAGAUACCCUUGUAGUC
Molecule: ribosomal RNA, 442 nt
Filed under: uncultured bacterium
Lineage: Bacteria
Description: partial 16S ribosomal RNA
Rfam family: Bacterial small subunit ribosomal RNA
Source: RNAcentral